CAGCCGCCGCGGUAAUACGUAGGUGGCAAGCGUUGUCCGGAAUUAUUGGGCGUAAAGGGCUCGCAGGCGGUUUCUUAAGUCUGAUGUGAAAGCCCCCGGCUCAACCGGGGAGGGUCAUUGGAAACUGGGAAACUUGAGUGCAGAAGAGGAGAGUGGAAUUCCACGUGUAGCGGUGAAAUGCGUAGAGAUGUGGAGGAACACCAGUGGCGAAGGCGACUCUCUGGUCUGUAACUGACGCUGAGGAGCGAAAGCAUGGGGAGCGAACAGGAUUAGAUACCCGUGUAGUCCCUGUCUCUUAUAC
This 301-nucleotide ribosomal RNA is filed under the name uncultured bacterium. Its description in RNAcentral is "partial 16S ribosomal RNA". It matches the Rfam family "Bacterial small subunit ribosomal RNA", at positions 509 to 807 of the family's 1533-position model. The record is from RNAcentral.